GACGAACGCUGGCGGCGUGCUUAACACAUGCAAGUCGAGCGAGAAACCUUCGGGUUUCUAGCGGCGGACGGGUGAGUAACACGUGGGUAACCUGCCUCAAAGGGGGGGAUAGCCUUCCGAAAGGAAGAUUAAUACCGCAUAAUAUUACAGUUUCGCAUGAAGCAGUAAUUAAAGGAGUAAUCCGCUUUGAGAUGGACCCGCGGCGCAUUAGCUAGUUGGAGAGGUAACGGCUCACCAAGGCAACGAUGCGUAGCCGACCUGAGAGGGUGAUCGGCCACAUUGGAACUGAGGCACGGUCCAGACUCCUACGGGAGGCAGCAGUGGGGAAUAUUGCACAAUGGGCGAAAGCCUGAUGCAGCAGCGCCGCGUGAGUGAUGAAGGUCUUCGGAUUGUAAAGCUCUGUCUUUUGGGACGAUAAUGACGGUACCAAAGGAGGAAGCCACGGCUAACUACGUGCCAGCCGCCGCCGUAA
RNAcentral lists this ribosomal RNA (472 nucleotides) under uncultured bacterium. RNAcentral describes it as "partial 16S ribosomal RNA". It matches the Rfam family "Bacterial small subunit ribosomal RNA", at positions 28 to 523 of the family's 1533-position model. The record is from RNAcentral.